Long non-coding RNA from Pogona vitticeps (central bearded dragon), 2269 nucleotides. RefSeq lists it as uncharacterized. The record is from RefSeq and is a predicted model, not a curated record. NCBI's taxonomy places the organism in Eukaryota, Metazoa, Chordata, Lepidosauria, Squamata, Agamidae.
AGAAGGCGAGGUUUCCCUUUGCAGCGAGUGCCUUGGGCCGUGGAAGGAGUGUCCCACAAGCUUAAACUGGAAUGUGCGAAAGAGUGGCCCAGAGGCAUCCACAGUGCUGGACCCAUCAUUACAGUGAAUCUAUGGACUAGUGUUGCUAAGGUGGGCUCCAGGCAAUGCACUUGGUUCUUCCCCUCUCCAUUUCACCCACACAACUUCUGAAUCAGGAUGCAGAGAGGAACCAGCUGACAUCUCAGAGACAAAGGUCACCAGCAUUGGGGAAGAAGAGAAAAUGCCUAGAAAGGAUUGCAUCGAAAGGACUACGAACAGCACUGAAGUGGCAUUUCAAAUGACAGUGGGGAAAUGCAGAUAGAAGGGCAGUGCCAUGCAGAGAUGAUGUGCCUCAAUUAUCCCACUGUGGUACUUGCUUGAUGGAGAGCUGAGAAACCACACAACUAUCUGACUGGUCUGUUUGUUGCUUUUCCUCUAUCAAAUAUUGAGGCUGCCUGGGAUCCUGAACCCACAACAUUGGUGUGCCUCAUUCUUCAUCAAGUGGCAGAAAGCUCAGCGGAAUGCAUCCAGGGUUAGUUUCCUUCCAAGGACAGAACAUCUAGGAGAAAGGUUUGCUUGGGCUUCUGGCUUCACGAAUCAUGUCUGAUUGACCUCAUUUGGGAAGACUCUCCUCUGGAUCAUCACACCAGAAAACUUCAGUCCAACUGGAAGAGAACUGGCCUAUUUCUUCACACACAUAUGCAUGGAUGUCUGUCCAUGUGAUCUAGUUUCUUGGCACAAUUUUAACUUGUCAAGCAAUGGCCCUCCUGAAAAGACAUGCAUUGCGAACAUGAGUUGCAGGCAUGCUAAGAAGUCAAAUAGUGUGGGAGGGAAUCUUUAUACUGCUUUCAUUUUUAUCCCAUUCUUUCUCCUGUGAAGGGUGGCAUACAUGCUUCUCUCACAUUUGAUCCAUGCAGCAACCCUGCAAGGUUUGUUAGGGUAAUUUGUAGUGGGCAGAUAAGAGCCACCCACUGAACUUCAUAGCUGAGCCCAGGUCCUGCCAUUUUAAGGGAUAAACGAGAUGAAACAGUUAGCCCAUCAUUAGAAGCAGAGGUUCUGUAAGAGGCAAAAGACACAUGUUUUUGCUAAUAAUUUUUUCCUCAGCCCCUUGUGUCACAAAUUAGCUUGCUUUUGCCUUGCAGUUUUUCACUGAGAAUUCACAUUGAUUCUGAUUGCAAAUCUAAUCAGGCAUGGAACUUUGAAAGAAUUGUGCAGCUGGAGGGAAAAUGUUGGAAUAACAGGAAAAAUACAUUUCUCUCAACAUGAAAUUUGGUCCUGUGUCUAAGAUCCUAGUGUAGCCUUUUCCAAUUUGCUGUGCUCCAGAAAUGUUUCCACAAUCAGCACAGCCAUAGGCCCUCAAGUGAGUAGUAACUACUGUACUCACGUGUUAAGCAGCCUACCUACUAAGAGAGCACAGUCAUCUUCUCAUUGUGAUAUAGAGUCCUCUAGUUUGUCUGGAUUGUGCACCAGAACACAUUCUGCAGUCUCUUGUGAAUGUAUAAAAGUCUCUGCUCACAUCUCUUAGUUUGUGCACUCCUCACAUUACACUUCUGUCUUCCACCCUCUGACAUAUAGUCUUGCUGUGGGAGUCUCUUGUCCAAGGAACUUAAACGGUUCUGGAGCAAAGGUUGUAAAAAGGCAGCAUGGCCAAGUCUGAUUUGGGAGAGAGGAGAUUUUGGGAGCUCUGGUUUCAAAACGUAACUUUUCCAAGAUCCAUUAGAAACUAUCAUGGAGUAACUGUUGGUUGUAGUGGCAAUAAGGUGAACAAGAUGACACGAGCGAGGGAAGGUUAAAGAAAUUGCUUGUACAUAGAGAUCUAAAGAUCUAGGGAGUGCCAGUGUUGUCAUAAGAUUAUGCUGUGAUUUAGAAAACUAAAUGGAUGUAGGUGGCUCAGAAAGUAGGAUUUUAACCAUGGUGUUCUUACACAGCUGGCAUUCAUUUUAGUAAGGCUUGCUUGUGAGAAAAAUGAGAAACCUCCUGGUGGACUGAGUCCUCCAUUCUGCUAGAGGAGGAACUGCCUCAGCUUCAACCGGUGCCUUGUAAUGUAUAUCAGGAUUUCAAACCAGGCUUUUAAAAUAUAUAUUUGAAAAACUACUUCAGUUCUCCAGAAAACACUCGGCUUAACAGAGAAUCCAUAAUGCUAAACAUGUUUGUUUAAAGAACUCCACAUUAUUGCUGCAUAUUAUAAGAACGCUGCUUGACUAACACAUUCCAAUUAGCAGAUUGGGCA